Molecule: ribosomal RNA, 465 nt
Filed under: uncultured bacterium
Lineage: Bacteria
Description: partial 16S ribosomal RNA
Rfam family: Bacterial small subunit ribosomal RNA
Source: RNAcentral
CCUACGGGAGGCUGCAGUGGGGAAUAUUGCGCAAUGGGCGAAAGCCUGACGCAGCGACGCCGCGUGAGGGAUGAAGGUCUUCGGAUCGUAAACCUCUGUCAGCAGGGAAGAACGGUCACUGUGCUAAUCAGCAGUGAAUUGACGGUACCUGCAAAGGAAGCACCGGCUAACUCCGUGCCAGCAGCCGCGGUAAUACGGAGGGUGCGAGCGUUAAUCGGAAUUACUGGGCGUAAGGCGCUCGUAGGCGGUAUGUCAAGUCAAGGGUGAAGUCCCCGCGCUCAACGUGGGAACUGCCUUUGAAACUGGCAAACUGGAGUGUGUGAGAGGAUAGUGGAAUUCCAGGUGUAGGAGUGAAAUCCGUAGAUAUCUGGAGGAACAUCAGUGGCGAAGGCGACUAUCUGGCACAUAACUGACGCUGAGGAGCGAAAGCGUGGGUAGCAAACAGGAUUAGAUACCCUGGUAGUC